Molecule: ribosomal RNA, 1197 nt
Filed under: Triticum aestivum (bread wheat)
Lineage: Eukaryota; Viridiplantae; Streptophyta; Magnoliopsida; Poales; Poaceae
Description: partial small subunit ribosomal RNA
Source: RNAcentral
AUGGCGAACUACCCCGUCAAUGUCGCCCUGUACCUGCCACAGGGCAUGACCAUCGAGCUGGGGCCUGAAGAUCGACUGGUCAGAGACGAGAUGGUGGUCAGUCCGGUGCUGCCGCUCCACCAUGACUUCUUGGCCAUUGUAGAGGUGAAUCGCUUCGUCCCUGACCAUCAGAAAGCUCUGCUUCGGCACACCAUCGAAGGUUUGCUCCAUGAGUCCAACUUUUCCCCCACUGAAGUUGACGAUUAUCCACUAGGGAUUGGCAUCUUUGGUUUUAUGGAUUCGGUUGUGAGAGAUGCGGUAGUGGGCACGACAUUUGAGCUAGAUGAGGAUGAUGAAAACCAAGGCACCAUUGUUUCUUUUGUUCCUCAAGAUGCUGCUAUCAAUAUGCGCCAAACUAGUUUUGGGCCUCAAGUGUGGUUGCUUUAUAUUGGUUUUCCGCAUGAUUAUCAGACUUCUCAUUACAUCCAUAAGUCUGUGGACAAAUUUGGUGAGCUUAUCACUUGGAAUAAUCCUAGAGGAGACAUGAAGUUUGUUCUGAUCAAAGCUCGUGUGCUUAGCUUGCGUCGGGUUCCCAAAAGCUUCGUUAUGCAUCAACUGGGUGGAGAGUGCCGCUGCUGGACGGUCUGUGUCACAAUCCUGCGCAUCAGUGACUGGAACGCACAUAUCUCGGAUGUGCUGCCAGCUGACAUGGAUCCACCUCCUGCUGAUGGAAUCCCCCAUCCUCUGUUCGGUGAAGGCCUCACUGCGGAGCAGAUGUACCAAGCACAACUGCACAAUUGGCUUGCUCAGAAUGCUGCGCCAAACCAACCUGACGCUGCUCCACAACACAAUGAGGUGCCAGGACAUGAUGUUCACUUCCAAGCUGGUUGGGGUGCUUGGCCACCUUCUCCACCGCCGGCUCUGUAUAACUUUCAAGCAUGGCUGACUGCGGAAGGAUUACAGGUUCAUGAUGGGAUUUUACCUGCAAACAAUCUUCAAGAUAGUCCAGGUACUGCUUGGAACGACUCUUUCUCUGCAUAUGACAUCUCAAAUUCUAGUGCAACAAUCUCGGACAGCUAUAUCUUGGUUCCCAACAACAUCUUCCAUGCUCUGACAGUUGGAGAAAGUUCUGCCACGCCUGAAAACAGUAUUGUUCUUAGCCCGGCUCCCACUGCUGCCCUGGAAAUUCAUGUCUCUCCGUCUGCUGCUGGCCUAUAG